CCUACGGGCGGCUGCAGUGGGGAAUAUUGGACAAUGGGGGCAACCCUGAUCCAGCCAUGCCGCGUGUGUGAAGAAGGCCCUCGGGUUGUAAAGCACUUUCAGUGAGGAAGAACGCCUGGUGGUUAAUACCCAUCAGGAAAGACAUCACUCACAGAAGAAGCACCGGCUAACUCCGUGCCAGCAGCCGCGGUAAUACGGAGGGUGCGAGCGUUAAUCGGAAUUACUGGGCGUAAAGCGCGCGUAGGUGGCUUGAUAAGCCGGUUGUGAAAGCCCCGGGCUCAACCUGGGAACGGCAUCCGGAAGAGUCAAGCAGCAGAGCAGGAGAGGGAGGUAGAAUUCCCGGUGUAGGGAGGAAAUGCGAAGGAAGAGGGAGGAUUAACCAUGGCGGAGCAGGCCUUAUAGACUGACUCACCCACAGGGGUGCAAAAGCAUGGGUAGAAAACAGGAUAAGAAAGAAGAGGAGGA
Molecule: ribosomal RNA, 465 nt
Filed under: Vreelandella stevensii
Lineage: Bacteria; Pseudomonadati; Pseudomonadota; Gammaproteobacteria; Oceanospirillales; Halomonadaceae
Description: partial 16S ribosomal RNA
Rfam family: Bacterial small subunit ribosomal RNA
Source: RNAcentral